Mangifera indica (mango) is the source of this 1951-nucleotide RNA transcript. It is a transcript of the gene named ankyrin repeat-containing protein BDA1-like, with no coding region annotated. The record is from RefSeq and is a predicted model, not a curated record. NCBI's taxonomy places the organism in Eukaryota, Viridiplantae, Streptophyta, Magnoliopsida, Sapindales, Anacardiaceae. The transcript is spliced from 6 exons.
AUAACUCAAACUACCAUUGUUACUCCUGUAGUUGAAAGAAAAUUUGCAAAAAGAUUUCUUUAAACACCCACACAGACAUGGAUGAGAAAUUGCAGAAUGCUGCCAUGGAAGGAGAUGUGGAAGCAUUAUUUUCAAUACUUGAAGAGGAUCCCAACGUUUUAGAGCGUAUUGAUCAAGUAUCAUUUGUGACUACUCCCUUGCAUACAGCUGCAAGGGAGGGAAAGAUCCAUUUCGCCAAGGAGAUACUAAACUUAAAGCCUUCAUUCGCUUGGAAGCGAGACCAUCUUGGGCGUAGCCCCCUCCACUUGGCUUUGGAGGGAAAACACCAGCAGAAAGAGCUUAGUCCCCGUGAUUUGGAUUUGGAAGAGAAGUACCAGGAACUUGUAACAUGGUUGAUAAAACAUGACAGUGAGGUUGUCCGUGUUAAAGCAAAGGGGAUGGUUACUCCUCUGCACUAUGCAGCUCAACUAAACGAUGAAACCAGUUUGGCUGACUUUUUGUAUGUUUGUCCAUUAUCAAUCGAAGAGUUGACUGUUAAAUCUGAAACUGUUGUACAUGUCGCUGUAAAAAACGGGAGUUUGAAAGCCUUUAAAGUUUUGUUAGGAUGGCUUCGACGCUUCAACAAAGAGGAGAUCCUGAAGUGGAAGGACGAGGAAGGAAACAAUGCAUUACAUACUGCAGUAUCUACAAAUCAACCUCAGGAUAUCUCCAAGGUCGUGCCAAGCCGUGAAUCCGCUCAAGUCUUAUAGGCUAACAAUAGAGUUGAGAACUGAAGAUGCUGUUUCAGCUUUAGCACCAAGUAGAAUGUCCCUAACCGCUGCAUCUGGCGAACCUUGGCGAUCAUAGAAGAUGUCCAAAGCUGUCAAAUCUUUACUGUUCUUUUUACUCACUUUCAUACAUCCAAUCAACAACUUCAUCGCUUUUAUUAUUGAGGAGAUAAGGAAAUAUCAGAAGCUUGUGUAAAGAAAAUGACAAGGCAAAAUGAGGCGCAAGGGGUGGAUACAAACCAGGUUGAGUUCUAACAGUCUUUGGUUUGUGAUUGUUAAACCAAAUUUAAAAUUGAUUUGAGUUUGAUUCAAAUAAAAAAUAAUUUGAUUCGAUUUAGCUCAAAUUUGACUUGUAUUCAUAGUUUAAAUUUGAUGUUCAAAUUUGUGGUUCAAGUUUACAGCUCGUUGACAAAAUAAUGACUACGAUAGUACAUUUUGGAGUUCAAGAGGAAUUUUAUCAACGCUUUGGUAUACCUGACCAGGGCUUUUCAGAAUUUGGAUUAGUCCCCGUGAUUCGGAUUUGGAGCAGAAGUACCAGGAACUUGUAACAUGGUUGAUAAAACAUGACAAUGAGGUUGUCCCUGCUAAAGCAAAGGGGAUGGUUACUCCUUUGCACUAUGCAGUUAAACUAGACGAUGAAUCCAGUUUGGCUGACUUUUUGUAUGUUUGUCCAUUAUCAAUCGAAGAUUUGACUGUUAAAUCUGAAACUGCUGUACAUGUCACCCUCAAAAACGGGAGUUUAAAAGCCUUUAAAGUCCUGUUAGGAUGGCUUCAAUGCUUCAACAAAGAAGAGAUUCUGAAGUGGGAGGACGAAGAAGGAAACAAUGCAUUGCAUACUGCAGUAUCUGCAAAUCAACCUGAGAUGGCGAAGCUGUUGAUUGGAUACAUGAACGUGAAUAUAAAGAACAGAAAAGUUUUGACAGCUUUGGACAUCUUCUACGAUCGCCAAGGUCAAGGUUUGGUAGAUGCAGCAGUUGGGGACAUUCUACUUGCUGCUAAAGCUAAAAGUGCAUCUCAACUCCAUCAUCCGUCUUUAAGAGAUUCACGAAAAAUUUCACUAGUUGAGUACUUUUCUGGGGGCUUGUCGUUUUCAGCAAGAAUUGCGAAAAGAUUUAGUCAGGGUUACAGAAGCUUUGAUCUUGUGUUAUUUACAUUUGAUACAAAUAAAUAUACAUUUGAUAUUU